This is a long non-coding RNA of Hemibagrus wyckioides, 545 nucleotides long. RefSeq lists it as uncharacterized. The transcript has 3 exons. The record is from RefSeq and is a predicted model, not a curated record. Lineage: Eukaryota; Metazoa; Chordata; Actinopteri; Siluriformes; Bagridae.
CACCAUGGAACAGGUGAAGUAAAGUGGCAGAUGACAGAGUUGUGUGUAAUCAGUGAAGCUCCAAAAAGGAACUACUGAAAAAACACUGCCUUCAUUUUUCAUAUUACAGUGACUCUACCAUGAAGCUGAAUCUUUUUCUUCUGCUGUGUCUCACCGGUCUCACCCCAGUUGUCACAAUUGUCCAUCACAAUUAUCACCUGAUCAAGGAAUCAUAUUCAUGGCCAAUGGCUCAGAAAUACUGCAGGGUGAUGUACACUGACAUGGCAACGAUCGUAACUGAUGAUGAUUGGUUACGACUAAACAAAGAAGCGGUGAGCAAAGGCUACACUGGAUAUUCCUGGAUUGGAUUGUACGAUGAUGUCAAUAGCUGGCGCUGGUCCUUAAACGAGCUCCCACUGAAGAAUGUCACUUAUACAAACUGGUACACUGGACAGCCGGAUAAUAAUGCUGGAAACGAAGCGUGUGGUAUAAUUAAUAGUUUUGGAACCUGGGUAGAUUAUCCAUGUACACGUCUAAAACCCUUUAUAUGCUACAAUGGUGAGUCA